UGGGUGAGUAACACGUGCCUAAUCUACCUUUUAGAUUGGAAUACCCAUUGGAAACAAUGGCUAAUGCCGGAUACGCAUGGAACCGCAUGGUUCCGUUGUGAAAGGCGCUGUAAGGCGCCACUAAAAGAUGAGGGUGCGGAACAUUAGUUAGUUGGUGAGGUAAUGGCCCACCAAGACUAUGAUGUUUAGCCGGGUCGAGAGACUGAACGGCCACAUUUGGACUGAGAUACGGCCCAAACUCCUACGGGAGGCAGCAGCA
RNAcentral lists this ribosomal RNA (259 nucleotides) under uncultured Mycoplasma sp. Its description in RNAcentral is "partial 16S ribosomal RNA". It matches the Rfam family "Bacterial small subunit ribosomal RNA", at positions 103 to 355 of the family's 1533-position model. The record is from RNAcentral. Lineage: Bacteria; Bacillati; Mycoplasmatota; Mollicutes; Mycoplasmatales; Mycoplasmataceae.